RNAcentral lists this transfer-messenger RNA (349 nucleotides) under Acidobacteriota. Its description in RNAcentral is "JAGNHB01 sp018001935 Standard tmRNA". It matches the Rfam family "transfer-messenger RNA". Rfam says of the family: Bacterial tmRNA, also known as 10Sa RNA or SsrA, is named for its dual tRNA and mRNA-like properties. Its role is to liberate the mRNA from a stalled ribosome. Lineage: Bacteria; Pseudomonadati. RNAcentral also lists the same sequence under 1 other name. The record is from RNAcentral.
GGGGGCGAUCCGGUUUCGACGGGAGUGAUUGAGGUCCGUGAGGCAUGCCGGGUUUCCUGACCCGUAAAAAUCGGGAAAGCUAAAAUAGCUGCCAACAACAACCUCGCUCUGGCUGCCUAAUUAAAGGCACCACGGUCACCUCGCCCUCGCCCGUGGGGAGGGGCUGACCGUCAUUCAGCGGGCUGGCUUGCGCGGCUGUCUCCGACGCGCAGGCGAGAAAAAGGGGGCGGGCCGACGGCGAGUUUGCCUGGUAAGAUCGUCGCCGGCGGGAUAGAAACCAGGAUAAGCAUGUAGUUCUCACGCGGCUGAAGAUUCUCGGACGGGGGUUCGAUUCCCCCCGCCUCCACCA